This 73-nucleotide transfer RNA is filed under the name Podarcis lilfordi (Lilford's wall lizard). RNAcentral's name for it is "tRNA.Pro". Lineage: Eukaryota; Metazoa; Chordata; Lepidosauria; Squamata; Lacertidae. The record is from RNAcentral.
GGCAGUGUGGCGCAGUGGUUAGAGUGUCGGACUAGGACCUGGGAGAGCAGGGUUCAAAUCCCCCACGUGGCCA